Leopardus geoffroyi (Geoffroy's cat) is the source of this 1143-nucleotide long non-coding RNA. RefSeq lists it as uncharacterized. NCBI's taxonomy places the organism in Eukaryota, Metazoa, Chordata, Mammalia, Carnivora, Felidae. The transcript has 3 exons. The record is from RefSeq and is a predicted model, not a curated record.
AAAGAAGUGAGACAUUCAGAGUUGUUGGCUACUGGAGAUUUUGGAAUGGGUCAAAUGUCAACUGAAGAGUAUGGAUUGAUUGAGCACAUUCUUUAGUAUGUGCUUUCCAUUGUAAUCUCACUGAACAACUUGCAUACUCUGUCCGGGAAACACACUGCAAGGCCACCCUUGGAGCCACCAACUGAUCCCAAACACAACGAUCUUUUUAUUGUACUGCUGUCGUGUGGCAUUUCUGCAGUCAUGCUGAUUAGGCCAACCUUAUCCCAGCUACCUGAAGGACAGUCAUGAUGGAGAAGAAUGUUUGGGCUGCUUCUCUCUGUGGAGACUCAUCUGACCAAAGCCCAAUUUGAUGAACGUUAAGGGCUGUAGGAUCCACUCUUCCAACUAGGUCCGCCCUGCUCUGAAGACCCACCUUCUUUUGGCUGGAAAAUGAAUCUGCGAACAUCUUUGAGAAGGAGUUACUGAACAUUGUGCAAACGACAGACAGCACUUAAGUUCCCAUUAGCUACCAGAAGAAAAUUCAAAGUUUAUUAACGAGUAGCUGAUUGUCUUUAUCGCACCGAGGCUUACGUCUUAACACCCAAGAAGGAAGGAGUGAAAUCUGCCUCAGUACUUCCAUGGAAUUCCUUCUCGAAGUUUGAUUCAAUUCCUGUUCAUGUGUAAGACAUAAGCCUUAUGCCAUGAAAUUCCCAUUUUAACUGGUUGUCGGCUGUAAGUUAAUAUGCAGACUUAUUUUGCUUCUCCCCCUCCACGCUUGUGCACAAUGCUUUGAAUGUUCUGUGUUUUCCUUGCCUUUGAUUGCCAAUCCAUCCCGGGCUCUCAUUUCCUCCUCUCCUGCCUUUUGGCCGGCAUAAUUUUGGAACUUAAAAAAAAAAAAAAUGCAUCCUCUGUCUUUUCUCAUAGGCUCCAUUUGCAUUUUAGUCGAUUUUGGACAUUUUUUCUACGAUGUAUUCAAUAUGCUUUAUUUCCUGUUUUUAUAAGCUUUAUAUAACUUCAGAAAAAUGUGAUCCAAGGCAUGUCUGGGUGAGAGGUGGCUGUUAUUUUUUUACUGUAACAUGGAAGAUAUUGACCUGCAGUGUCUACACUGGGCAUAACUGUUUGCAGAGUUGUCUUUUUUCCUUUUAAUUUUGUUUUUGAGAGAGC